Canariomyces notabilis is the source of this 84-nucleotide non-coding RNA. NCBI's taxonomy places the organism in Eukaryota, Fungi, Ascomycota, Sordariomycetes, Sordariales, Chaetomiaceae. The record is from the annotation of a RefSeq genome assembly.
GGUUGUAUAGUGUAGCGGUUAUCACUCCGGAUUCUGAUCGCUCAGAGCAUUCCGGCAACCCCGGUUCGAUUCCGGGUACGACCU